GGUUAAGCGACUAAGCGUACACGGUGGAUGCCCUGGCAGUCAGAGGCGAUGAAGGGCGUGCUAAUCUGCGAUAAGCGCCGGUAAGGUGAUAUGAACCGUUAUAACCGGCGAUACCCGAAUGGGGAAACCCAGUGUGACUCGUCACACUAUCAUUAACUGAAUCCAUAGGUUAAUGAGGCGAACCGGGGGAACUGAAACAUCUAAGUACCCCGAGGAAAAGAAAUCAACCGAGAUUCCCCCAGUAGCGGCGAGCGAACGGGGAGGAGCCCAGAGCCUGAAUCAGCAUGUGUGUUAGUGGAAGCGUCUGGAAAGGCGCGCGAUACAGGGUGACAGCCCCGUACACAAAAGCGCAUGUGCUGUGAGCUCGAUGAGUAGGGCGGGACACGUGGUAUCCUGUCUGAAUAUGGGGGGACCAUCCUCCAAGGCUAAAUACUCCUGACUGACCGAUAGUGAACCAGUACCGUGAGGGAAAGGCGAAAAGAACCCCGGCGAGGGGAGUGAAAAAGAACCUGAAACCGUGUACGUACAAGCAGUGGGAGCACCCUUUGGGUGUGACUGCGUACCUUUUGUAUAAUGGGUCAGCGACUUAUAUUCUGUAGCAAGGUUAACCGAAUAGGGGAGCCGGAGGGAAACCGAGUCUUAAUUGGGCGUUAAGUUGCAGGGUAUAGACCCGAAACCCGGUGAUCUAGCCAUGGGCAGGUUGAAGGUUGGGUAACACUAACUGGAGGACCGAACCGACUAAUGUUGAAAAAUUAGCGGAUGACCUGUGGCUGGGGGUGAAAGGCCAAUCAAACCGGGAGAUAGCUGGUUCUCCCCGAAAGCUAUUUAGGUAGCGCCUCGUGAAUUCAUCUCCGGGGGUAGAGCACUGUUUCGGCUAGGGGGCCAUCCCGGCUUACCAACCCGAUGCAAACUGCGAAUACCGGAGAAUGUUAUCACGGGAGACACACGGCGGGUGCUAACGUCCGUCGUGAAGAGGGAAACAACCCAGACCGCCAGCUAAGGUCCCAAAGUCAUGGUUAAGUGGGAAACGAUGUGGGAAGGCCCAGACAGCCAGGAUGUUGGCUUAGAAGCAGCCAUCAUUUAAAGAAAGCGUAAUAGCUCACUGGUCGAGUCGGCCUGCGCGGAAGAUGUAACGGGGCUAAACCAUGCACCGAAGCUGCGGCAGCGACACUGUGUGUUGUUGGGUAGGGGAGCGUUCUGUAAGCCUGUGAAGGUGUGUCGUGAGGCAUGCUGGAGGUAUCAGAAGUGCGAAUGCUGACAUAAGUAACGAUAAAGCGGGUGAAAAGCCCGCUCGCCGGAAGACCAAGGGUUCCUGUCCAACGUUAAUCGGGGCAGGGUGAGUCGACCCCUAAGGCGAGGCCGAAAGGCGUAGUCGAUGGGAAACGGGUUAAUAUUCCCGUACUUGGUGUUACUGCGAAGGGGGGACGGAGAAGGCUAUGUUGGCCGGGCGACGGUUGUCCCGGUUUAAGCGUGUAGGUGUGUGUUCCAGGUAAAUCCGGUUCACUUUAACACUGAGGCGUGACGACGAGGCACUACGGUGCUGAAGCAACAAAUGCCCUGCUUCCAGGAAAAGCCUCUAAGCAUCAGGUAACAUCAAAUCGUACCCCAAACCGACACAGGUGGUCAGGUAGAGAAUACCAAGGCGCUUGAGAGAACUCGGGUGAAGGAACUAGGCAAAAUGGUGCCGUAACUUCGGGAGAAGGCACGCUGACACGUAGGUGAAGUGAUUUACUCAUGGAGCUGAAGUCAGUCGAAGAUACCAGCUGGCUGCAACUGUUUAUUAAAAACACAGCACUGUGCAAACACGAAAGUGGACGUAUACGGUGUGACGCCUGCCCGGUGCCGGAAGGUUAAUUGAUGGGGUCAGCGCAAGCGAAGCUCCUGAUCGAAGCCCCGGUAAACGGCGGCCGUAACUAUAACGGUCCUAAGGUAGCGAAAUUCCUUGUCGGGUAAGUUCCGACCUGCACGAAUGGCGUAAUGAUGGCCAGGCUGUCUCCACCCGAGACUCAGUGAAAUUGAACUCGCUGUGAAGAUGCAGUGUACCCGCGGCAAGACGGAAAGACCCCGUGAACCUUUACUAUAGCUUGACACUGAACAUUGAGCCUUGAUGUGUAGGAUAGGUGGGAGGCUUUGAAGUGUGGACGCCAGUCUGCAUGGAGCCGACCUUGAAAUACCACCCUUUAAUGUUUGAUGUUCUAACGUGGACCCGUUACCCGGGUUGCGGACAGUGUCUGGUGGGUAGUUUGACUGGGGCGGUCUCCUCCUAAAGAGUAACGGAGGAGCACGAAGGUUGGCUAAUCCUGGUCGGACAUCAGGAGGUUAGUGCAAUGGCAUAAGCCAGCUUGACUGCGAGCGUGACGGCGCGAGCAGGUGCGAAAGCAGGUCAUAGUGAUCCGGUGGUUCUGAAUGGAAGGGCCAUCGCUCAACGGAUAAAAGGUACUCCGGGGAUAACAGGCUGAUACCGCCCAAGAGUUCAUAUCGACGGCGGUGUUUGGCACCUCGAUGUCGGCUCAUCACAUCCUGGGGCUGAAGUAGGUCCCAAGGGUAUGGCUGUUCGCCAUUUAAAGUGGUACGCGAGCUGGGUUUAGAACGUCGUGAGACAGUUCGGUCCCUAUCUGCCGUGGGCGCUGGAGAACUGAGGGGGGCUGCUCCUAGUACGAGAGGACCGGAGUGGACGCAUCACUGGUGUUCGGGUUGUCAUGCCAAUGGCACUGCCCGGUAGCUAAAUGCGGAAGAGAUAAGUGCUGAAAGCAUCUAAGCACGAAACUUGCCCCGAGAUGAGUUCUCCCUGAGACUUAAAGUCUCCUGAAGGAACGUUGAAGACGACGACGUUGAUAGGCCGGGUGUGUAAGCGCAGCGAUGCGUUGAGCUAACCGGUACUAAUGAACCGUGAGGCUUAACCUU
This 2904-nucleotide ribosomal RNA is filed under the name Salmonella enterica subsp. enterica. Its description in RNAcentral is "23S ribosomal RNA". It matches the Rfam family "Bacterial large subunit ribosomal RNA". Lineage: Bacteria; Pseudomonadati; Pseudomonadota; Gammaproteobacteria; Enterobacterales; Enterobacteriaceae. The record is from RNAcentral. RNAcentral also lists the same sequence under 1 other name.